RNAcentral lists this ribosomal RNA (1526 nucleotides) under Neisseria meningitidis NM2795. RNAcentral describes it as "bacterial SSU rRNA". It matches the Rfam family "Bacterial small subunit ribosomal RNA". The record is from RNAcentral. Lineage: Bacteria; Pseudomonadati; Pseudomonadota; Betaproteobacteria; Neisseriales; Neisseriaceae.
GAGUUUGAUCCUGGCUCAGAUUGAACGCUGGCGGCAUGCUUUACACAUGCAAGUCGGACGGCAGCACAGAGAAGCUUGCUUCUUGGGUGGCGAGUGGCGAACGGGUGAGUAACAUAUCGGAACGUACCGAGUAGUGGGGGAUAACUGAUCGAAAGAUCAGCUAAUACCGCAUACGUCUUGAGAGAGAAAGCAGGGGACCUUCGGGCCUUGCGCUAUUCGAGCGGCCGAUAUCUGAUUAGCUAGUUGGUGGGGUAAAGGCCUACCAAGGCGACGAUCAGUAGCGGGUCUGAGAGGAUGAUCCGCCACACUGGGACUGAGACACGGCCCAGACUCCUACGGGAGGCAGCAGUGGGGAAUUUUGGACAAUGGGCGCAAGCCUGAUCCAGCCAUGCCGCGUGUCUGAAGAAGGCCUUCGGGUUGUAAAGGACUUUUGUCAGGGAAGAAAGGCUGUUGCUAAUACCAGCGGCUGAUGACGGUACCUGAAGAAUAAGCACCGGCUAACUACGUGCCAGCAGCCGCGGUAAUACGUAGGGUGCGAGCGUUAAUCGGAAUUACUGGGCGUAAAGCGGGCGCAGACGGUUACUUAAGCAGGAUGUGAAAUCCCCGGGCUCAACCCGGGAACUGCGUUCUGAACUGGGUGACUCGAGUGUGUCAGAGGGAGGUAGAAUUCCACGUGUAGCAGUGAAAUGCGUAGAGAUGUGGAGGAAUACCGAUGGCGAAGGCAGCCUCCUGGGAUAACACUGACGUUCAUGCCCGAAAGCGUGGGUAGCAAACAGGAUUAGAUACCCUGGUAGUCCACGCCCUAAACGAUGUCAAUUAGCUGUUGGGCAACUUGAUUGCUUGGUAGCGUAGCUAACGCGUGAAAUUGACCGCCUGGGGAGUACGGUCGCAAGAUUAAAACUCAAAGGAAUUGACGGGGACCCGCACAAGCGGUGGAUGAUGUGGAUUAAUUCGAUGCAACGCGAAGAACCUUACCUGGUCUUGACAUGUACGGAAUCCUCCAGAGACGGAGGAGUGCCUUCGGGAGCCGUAACACAGGUGCUGCAUGGCUGUCGUCAGCUCGUGUCGUGAGAUGUUGGGUUAAGUCCCGCAACGAGCGCAACCCUUGUCAUUAGUUGCCAUCAUUCAGUUGGGCACUCUAAUGAAACUGCCGGUGACAAGCCGGAGGAAGGUGGGGAUGACGUCAAGUCCUCAUGGCCCUUAUGACCAGGGCUUCACACGUCAUACAAUGGUCGGUACAGAGGGUAGCCAAGCCGCGAGGCGGAGCCAAUCUCACAAAACCGAUCGUAGUCCGGAUUGCACUCUGCAACUCGAGUGCAUGAAGUCGGAAUCGCUAGUAAUCGCAGGUCAGCAUACUGCGGUGAAUACGUUCCCGGGUCUUGUACACACCGCCCGUCACACCAUGGGAGUGGGGGAUACCAGAAGUAGGUAGGGUAACCGCAAGGAGUCCGCUUACCACGGUAUGCUUCAUGACUGGGGUGAAGUCGUAACAAGGUAGCCGUAGGGGAACCUGCGGCUGGAUCACC